UAUCUUUAUGCGAAUGAAUCAAUAUUGCCAGUUGGCCUUGUGAACGUGUGUGUACGAGAGUGUCUGGUAGUGAAAGAGUGAGAGAAUGUGAUAAGGCGAGAGAGAUUAUGAUUUAUGGCAGCAUUGCAUUGCAUUGCAUUGCAUUACCUUGCUCCCAUCAAAACAUAGUGCUGUCCUUUCAGGACAAAAGUUAAUCUUAAUUUGGCCAAGUCACAACUAAUGAUACUUUAAUGAUUAGAUUUUUGUUUCUAUUAAUGGUUACUACUCUUGUAAUUUGACUCCACAAUAAAUGCACUCUGCUCCCUCUCCUAAGGCUUUGCUUAUCUUCUUCCAUACCCUCAAAUAUUGUGCUUGCUUGCUUUGCAACAACCAACAAACUACAGUUUCUCACUUCAUUUAUAUGACUGUCACCCACCAAUCAAUAUUUAACUCUCAAGUGAAGUUCAGCAGUUUUGAAGUGUCAUGUGAGGGUUACUUACUUUGGUUCCUUUCCCUUUUUCCAGCUGAAAUUGGGGAGCUGAGAAAGUACCUAGAACAUGACAUGCCACACUAUAAAGUUUGAGGCUUUACAAUUUCACAGUUUUAAUGUGCAUAAUUGCCAUUCUGGAACUAUCUCAAGUGAUUGUUUAGUUGAGUUUGGUUAUUCAUUUUGACAUAAAUUACCAUCUUCAGUAGCUGUUUCUUCUCUCGUACUACAAGUUCCAUAAAUGUAAGUCUCCUCAUAGAGCUAGACAGACCCACGUUUCAUUGAAAGAAACCACUAAUGAGCACCUGAUUUGAAUGUGCCACUAAUGACAAGCAUCUGUGCUUACAAUAAAAUAUAGCAGCUCACUUGAAUUCUGUCUUCUCUUAAUGCUUAUUUUCUCUCUUUAGUCACAAUACCUUUUACCUUGUCAUGUUUUGUAGGAAUAGUUCCAUACUAUACUCACUUUUGACCCCUACUUGUUCCAUUAGGAAUAGUUCCAUUAGGAUAUCAUUAAUCUAAUCAUCAAGUUAAAUAUAAAUACACCCUUAAUCUAAAAACACAUUCAAGUGCAAAAAUGUUACCCGUGUGGUAUCAGAGUUUCCCCAAUAAAGAUAAUUGAAAGUUACGUGAGAGUGAAAUUUAAUGCAGAAAGUGAACCAACCGCUCAAGGGUUGAGAGGACAGUGUAGAAAAGAAAAAGCAUGAGGAUGCAAGGGAGUUGAUGGAGUACAAUUCAGAUUCAGAAAUGGCACACAGGUACAAUUUCCUCUUAGUGACAAAAACUC
This 1250-nucleotide long non-coding RNA is filed under the name Vigna radiata. Its description in RNAcentral is "long non-coding RNA (VRAD_LNC005710)". The record is from RNAcentral. Lineage: Eukaryota; Viridiplantae; Streptophyta; Magnoliopsida; Fabales; Fabaceae.